UAAUACGUAGGGGGCAAGCGUUGUCCGGAUUUACUGGGCGUAAAGCGCGCGUAGGCGGCAGGUUAAGCGUGCCCUGAAAGCCCCCGGCUCAACCGGGGAGGGCGGGUGCGAACUGGCUUGCUUGAGGGCGAUAGAGGAGUGCGGAAUUCCUGGUGUAGCGGUGAAAUGCGUAGAGAUCAGGAGGAACACCAGUGGCGAAGGCGGCACUCUGGGUCGGCCCUGACGCUGAGGCGCGAAAGCGUGGGGAGCGAACGGGAUUAGAUACCCCGGUAGUCCACGCCGUAAACGAUGGUCACUAGGUGUGUGUGGUAUCGACCCCACACGUGCCGCAGCUAACGCAAUAAGUGACCCGCCUGGGGAGUACGGCCGCAAGGUUG
Molecule: ribosomal RNA, 377 nt
Filed under: uncultured bacterium
Lineage: Bacteria
Description: bacterial SSU rRNA
Rfam family: Bacterial small subunit ribosomal RNA
Source: RNAcentral